RNAcentral lists this ribosomal RNA (197 nucleotides) under uncultured bacterium. RNAcentral's name for it is "partial 16S ribosomal RNA". It matches the Rfam family "Bacterial small subunit ribosomal RNA", at positions 332 to 525 of the family's 1533-position model. The record is from RNAcentral.
UCAACUCCUACGGGAGGCAGCAGUGAGGAAUAUUGGUCAAUGGGCGAGAGCCUGAACCAGCCAAGUAGCGUGCAGGAWGACGGCCCUAUGGGUUGUAAACUGCUUUUAUACGGGAAUAAAGUGAGCCACGUGUGGUUUUUUGCAUGUACCCUAUGAAUAAGGACCGGCUAAUUCCGUGCCAGCGAGCCGCGGUAAUA